RNAcentral lists this long non-coding RNA (206 nucleotides) under Mytilus galloprovincialis (Mediterranean mussel). Lineage: Eukaryota; Metazoa; Mollusca; Bivalvia; Mytilida; Mytilidae. The record is from RNAcentral.
CGCACCGUAACUUGAGAACAGCUUAUCUAGUUUUCAUGAAACUUAACAAAGUUAUUUCUUGAAAUGGUCAAACGAUCUGUAAACCUUUUAGUGAAAAUCAAAUGAAAUCUUUUUGAGUUACAGAACUUUGAAAGUAAAACAGGAGUGUGGUUUUUUUUAACAUGUCGCGCCAUAUCUCAAAACGAUUUAUUAUUAUUGCAUCAAAC